RNAcentral lists this ribosomal RNA (309 nucleotides) under Microbacterium sp. Its description in RNAcentral is "bacterial SSU rRNA". Lineage: Bacteria; Bacillati; Actinomycetota; Actinomycetes; Micrococcales; Microbacteriaceae. The record is from RNAcentral.
ACCCUCGUUCUAUGUUGCCAGCACGUAAUGGUGGGAACUCAUGGGAUACUGCCGGGGUCAACUCGGAGGAAGGUGGGGAUGACGUCAAAUCAUCAUGCCCCUUAUGUCUUGGGCUUCACGCAUGCUACAAUGGCCGGUACAAAGGGCUGCAAUACCGCGAGGUGGAGCGAAUCCCAAAAAGCCGGUCCCAGUUYGGAUUGAGGUCUGCAACUCGACCUCAUGAAGUCGGAGUCGCUAGUAAUCGCAGAUCAGCAACGUGCGGUGAAUACGUUCCCGGGUCUUGUACACACCGCCCGUCAAGUCRUGAAA